This 29-nucleotide small RNA is filed under the name Bombyx mori (domestic silkworm). RNAcentral's name for it is "piRNA piR-bmo-1835527". The record is from RNAcentral. Lineage: Eukaryota; Metazoa; Arthropoda; Insecta; Lepidoptera; Bombycidae.
UCCUGUCUGUAGCGUCGUACGCGCGGGAC